RNAcentral lists this ribosomal RNA (253 nucleotides) under uncultured bacterium. Its description in RNAcentral is "partial 16S ribosomal RNA". It matches the Rfam family "Bacterial small subunit ribosomal RNA", at positions 524 to 776 of the family's 1533-position model. The record is from RNAcentral.
UACGUAGGGUGCAAGCGUUAAUCGGAAUUACUGGGCGUAAAGCGUGCGCAGGCGGUUUUGUAAGUUUGUCGUGAAAGCCCCGGGCUCAACCUGGGAAUUGCGAUGAAGACUGCAAGGCUUGAAUCUGGCAGAGGGGGGUAGAAUUCCACGUGUAGCAGUGAAAUGCGUAGAGAUGUGGAGGAACACCGAUGGCGAAGGCAGCCCCCUGGGUCAAGAUUGACGCUCAUGCACGAAAGCAUGGGGAGCAAACAGG